AUACGUAGGGGGCGAGCGUUGUCCGGAAUGAUUGGGCGUAAAGGGCGCGUAGGCGGCCCGGUAAGUCUGGAGUGAAAGUCCUGUUUUUAAGAUGGGAAUUGCUUUGGAUACUGUCGGGCUUGAGUGCAGGAGAGGUAAGUGGAAUUCCCAGUGUAGCGGUGAAAUGCGUAGAGAUUGGGAGGAACACCAGUGGCGAAGGCGACUUACUGGACUGUAACUGACGCUGAGGCGCGAAAGUGUGGGGAGCAGACAGGAUUAGAUACCCUGGUAGUCCACACUGUAAACGAUGAAUGCUAGGUGUAGGGGGUAUCGACCCCUUCUGUGCCGCAGUCAACACAAUAAGCAUUCCGCCUGGGGAGUACGGCCGCAAGGUUGAAACUCAAAGGAAUUGACGGGG
RNAcentral lists this ribosomal RNA (397 nucleotides) under uncultured bacterium. RNAcentral's name for it is "partial 16S ribosomal RNA". It matches the Rfam family "Bacterial small subunit ribosomal RNA", at positions 523 to 918 of the family's 1533-position model. The record is from RNAcentral.